This 136-nucleotide small nucleolar RNA is filed under the name Ochotona princeps (American pika). The record is from RNAcentral. Lineage: Eukaryota; Metazoa; Chordata; Mammalia; Lagomorpha; Ochotonidae.
UUGGCCCUGAAUCAAGACCAACAGUUUGCUGAAGCUGUUGGUUUCAAGCAGGAGCCUAAAGAAAUGUCUUAUCUGGCCUGUUGACCAUUUCAGAACUGCGCAAAUGUAAUGGUCAAUUCAUUGGGAAGAAACAUCA